Molecule: ribosomal RNA, 494 nt
Filed under: uncultured bacterium
Lineage: Bacteria
Description: partial 16S ribosomal RNA
Rfam family: Bacterial small subunit ribosomal RNA
Source: RNAcentral
GACGAACGCUGGCGGCGUGCCUAAUACAUGCAAGUAGAACGCUGAAGGAGGAGCUUGCUUCUCUGGAUGAGUUGCGAACGGGUGAGUAACGCGUAGGUAACCUGCCUGGUAGCGGGGAUAACUAUUGGAAACGAUAGCUAAUACCGCAUAAUAGUAGAUGUUGCAUGACAUUUGCUUAAAAGGUGCAAUUGCAUCACUACCAGAUGGACCUGCGUUGUAUUAGCUAGUUGGUGAGGUAACGGCUCACCAAGGCGACGAUACAUAGCCGACCUGAGAGGGUGAUAGGCCACACUGGGACUGAGACACGGCCCCGACUCCUACGGGAGGCAGCCGGAGGGAAUUUUUGGCAAAUGGACGGAGGUUGACCCGGGCACGGCGGGUGAGUGAAGGAGGUUUUCGGAUCGUAAAGCUCUGUUGUAAGAGAAGAACGAGUGUGAGAGUGGAAAGUUCACACUGUGACGGUAUCUUACCAGAAAGGGACGGCUAACUACGUG